AGUCCUGUUGUUGCUAGGCAACGAAAGUUUGGUUACUGCAGAACAGAAGCGUCUCAAUUAGUAUACUUCUGUACUUCAAGCACACUCGUUCUAGUUGUACGCUGCCCGCUCUGCUUGCAGUAUGGCUCAGGGACGCUGACGUUGUUUAAUUGAGUACCCUGACACACAAGGGUGGAGUUUGAGACGCACCACACAGUGCUUUCGCACGCAGGCAGCAACCAGGGUAACUUUCAAGGACUUCCUCUGGAUGGUGGCAGAUUGACAACCUCACAUCAGUGAACAUGAAUCUCAUAACUGAUUGGAAAAAUAAAUAAAGUUUUGCACACAA
Molecule: long non-coding RNA, 328 nt
Organism: Engraulis encrasicolus (European anchovy)
Lineage: Eukaryota; Metazoa; Chordata; Actinopteri; Clupeiformes; Engraulidae
Exons: 2
Source: RefSeq, a predicted model, not a curated record